Molecule: ribosomal RNA, 248 nt
Filed under: uncultured Staphylococcus sp.
Lineage: Bacteria; Bacillati; Bacillota; Bacilli; Caryophanales; Staphylococcaceae
Description: partial 16S ribosomal RNA
Rfam family: Bacterial small subunit ribosomal RNA
Source: RNAcentral
UUAGCGGCGGACGGGUGAGUAACACGUGGAUAACCUACCUAUAAGACUGGGAUAACUUCGGGAAACCGGAGUUAAUACCGGAUAAUAUUUUGAACCGCAUGGUUCAAAAGUGAAAGACGGUCUUGCUGUCACUUAUAGAUGGAUCCGCGCUGCAUUAGCUAGUUGGAAAGGUAACGGCUUACCAAGGCAACGAUGCAUAGCCGACCUGAGAGGGUGAUCGGCCACACUGGAACUGAGACACGGUCCAG